RNAcentral lists this ribosomal RNA (592 nucleotides) under uncultured bacterium. Its description in RNAcentral is "bacterial SSU rRNA". It matches the Rfam family "Bacterial small subunit ribosomal RNA", at positions 224 to 806 of the family's 1533-position model. The record is from RNAcentral.
GAUGAGCCCGCGGCGUAUUAGCUAGUUGGUAGGGUAACGGCCUACCAAGGCUGAGAUGCGUAGCUGGUCUUAGAGGAUGGUCAGCCACACUGGGACUGAGACACUGCCCAGACACCUACGGGUGGCUGCAGUCGAGAAUCUUUCGCAAUGGGGGAAACCCUGACGAAGCGACGCCGCGUGAGCGAUGAAGGUCUUCGGAUUGUAAAGCUCUGUCACGAGGGACGAAAAGUUCGUUGGUGAACAAUCAGCGGAUGUGACGGUACCUCGAAAGGAAGCCCCGGCUAACUCUGUGCCAGCAGCCGCGGUAAUACAGAGGGGGCAAGCGUUGUUCGGAUUUACUGGGUGUAAAGGGUGCGUAGGCGGUCUGAUAAGUUAGAUGUGAAAUCCCACAGCUUAACUGUGGAACUGCAUUUAAUACUGUCGAACUAGAGUACGAAAGAGGGAGAUGGAAUUCUCGGUGUAAGAGUGAAAUCUGCAGAUAUCGAGAGGAACACCAGUAGCGAAGGCGAUCUCCUGGGUCGAUACUGACGCUGAGUGCACGAAAGCUAGGGGAGCAAACGGGAUUAGACACCCCGGUAGUCCUAGCCGUAAA